GAUGAAGAACGUAGCGAAAUGCGAUAAGUAAUGUGAAUUGCAGAAUUCAGUGAAUCAUCGAAUCUUUGAACGCACAUUGCGCCCGUCAGUAUUCUGGCGGGCAUGCCUGUUCGAGCGUCAUUACGCCCCUCAAGUCCCCUGUGGACUUGGUGUUGGGGAUCGGCGAGGCUGGUUUUCCAGCACAGCCGUCCCUUAAAUUAAUUGGCGGUCUCGCCGUGGCCCUCCUCUGCGCAGUAGUAAAACACUCGCAACAGGAGCCCGGCGCGGUCCACUGCCGUAAAACCCCCCAACUUUUUAUAGUUGACCUCGAAUCAGGUAGGGCUACCCGCUGAACUUAAGCAUAUCAAUAAGCGGAGGA
This 358-nucleotide unclassified non-coding RNA is filed under the name soil metagenome. RNAcentral's name for it is "partial contains 5.8S ribosomal RNA, internal transcribed spacer 2, and large subunit ribosomal RNA". The stretch from base 1 to 120 matches the Rfam family "5.8S ribosomal RNA", at positions 35 to 154 of the family's 154-position model. The record is from RNAcentral.